UCUAAUACCGGAUAAUACUGCGGACUGCAUGGUCUGUGGUUGAAAGCUCCGGCGGUGAAGGAUGAGCCCGCGGCCUAUCAGCUUGUUGGUGGGGUGAUGGCCCACCAAGGCGACGACGGG
This 120-nucleotide ribosomal RNA is filed under the name Streptomyces cyaneogriseus. RNAcentral describes it as "partial 16S rRNA". It matches the Rfam family "Bacterial small subunit ribosomal RNA", at positions 162 to 283 of the family's 1533-position model. Lineage: Bacteria; Bacillati; Actinomycetota; Actinomycetes; Kitasatosporales; Streptomycetaceae. The record is from RNAcentral.